Molecule: long non-coding RNA, 3854 nt
Filed under: Mus musculus (house mouse)
Lineage: Eukaryota; Metazoa; Chordata; Mammalia; Rodentia; Muridae
Description: long non-coding RNA chr8:126250221-126254075
Source: RNAcentral
GUAGGUAUGGACUUACACUGGAUCUCGGUACAGAGCAAGGGCUCCUUCGAGAGCUGAGUAUUUCCUGAGCUCAGGAAGGCACUCGCCUCUGUUGGGUCUUUCCAUAAACAAAAGUUCUUGCACAUCAAAGCUUGGGUUGAAAACAGUGUAAAACCUUACAAGACUGAGUCUUAGCACAUCAUCUGCCCACAUCAUUGGAACAGAAAGUGCCAGGGGGUUCACAGGCCAAUCAGGAGCUAGGAGGGAAAUUGAUGCUUCAAGAAUUCACCAGCCAUGGGUAAGACAUUUGAUUCUUGCUGUAUCGAUAUACAGAUAAACUUGAAAUGAGCCAUGUCGGUUUUCUGCCUCAGAUUCAAUAGCCUGCAGCUGAUGGGAGAGGACUUAUUCUGCAUCACUGGGAGGAAAGACGUUGAGCCGUGUGUCCUUAGCAGAAACAGAUGGUGGCUGCUACACCCUUGGCAACCCUGUGGGAGAUCCUGGAGGCAGAAGGUGGCAUUAUCAGUGGUCACAUAGGACAAAUUUAUUCUCCACCUGUCUGUGUGGGAGGAAAGGCAGAACCUUCCAUUCAAGUCCCUGGGAGCUCUUCAGGAAAUAGAUAUUUUGCCUUGAUGAAUGCUGUAUUCAGAGACUGACAGUUUUAUAGUUGCUACUGGGUAACUCUGACCCCAGUCAGAUUUGGUUGGAAGGAAGUCUACAGUAUGCAUGUGCAUGAGUGUGUGUGUGUGUGUGUGUGUGUGUGUGUGUGUGAGUGAGUGUGUACAUGAGUUUAUGUGCAUGAUUGAAAAUGUGUGUGUAUACAUGAGUUUUUGUGCAUGAGUGUAUACAUGAAUGUUUGUGUAAGUAUGUGUAUGCAUUUGUAUGUGCAUGAGUAUGUGUGUGUGUCCAUGACUGUGUGAAUGUGUAUGUGUGCAUGAGUAUAUAUGAGAGAUUGUGUAUGUGAGAGAUAGUGUAUUAUGUGUGCAUGAGCAUAUGUGUGUGUGUGUGUGUGCAUUUGUGUGUUCAUGAGUGUGUAUGAGUAUGUGUACAUGAGUGUAUUGCAUGAGUUUGUGUGAAUGAGUGUGUAUCCAUGAGUGUAUGUGAGUGUGUAAGUGUGUGCAUGAGUGUGUGUGAGAUUGUGUAUGUGAGAGUUUGUGUACUCUGUGUGCAUGAGUGUGUGCAUGAGUGUAUGUGUGUGCAUUUGUGUUUCCGUGAGUAUACAUGAGUGUGAGAGUGUAUGUGUAAAAGAGUAUGUGUGUAUGCAUUUGGGUAUCCAUUUUGUUCAUAUAUGGAUGGGAGUAUGUGUGUAUGUCUUUGUGUGUGUUUUGUGUUUGUGUACAUGAAUGUGUAUGAGAUGUGUGUGAAUUUUUGUGUGCAUGUGUGUUUGUGUGUUGCAUGACCUUUGGUUUGAAAACAACAGAUAAACAAGAUGAGGGAACACUCACUGAAACAUCUAGAUAAGGAAGGAGAUGGAAAGAAGUUUUCUCAAAAGCCCAGCCUUGUGCAAGUCCCAGGCCAGCAAUUUCUGCAUGGCUUGGUCUAUAAACUGUGGACAUUGUUUCCUCCCCAAAUCAGGCGCUGAGUGGGCAGACUUGAGGUGAGACUCUAGCUGCAAUGAAAACCAUAUUUCCACGUGUCACCCAAGCCGUGCCUGCUGCCUACCACGUCACCCUUUCAGCCUCUCAGUACACCCUCUUUGUCCUUCUACAGGGACAGACCCUGAUCCAGCACCAGUCCAGCUGUCAAACAGCUGUGGGCACUCCACAGGGAGAUGCCAAACCACACACAGCAGCCCAGGUUAGAACCUCAAAAAAUGCAUUUGGCCCCAAACUCACACAGAUGGCCAGACAAGUUUAUGUCUGCACUUGUAGCUGAAACAGAAGCCAAGUAAGCUAGCAGGGUAAACGUGAGCCAGAAGAGCACGUGAAAGCAUUCUGGCGUCAGCUUUAUCUACUCGACCAUCAUAGAAACAUUAUGUGAAGUUCAGUGUCGCUGUGCACAGACAGACAAGUGCCUUAGGGGAAAAGCCAUAAAGUACACAUACAAGAAUCAACUCACUAUAAAAAGAUGGAAGUUGGUGGGGAUGGUAAACAUUUUGGAUAAAGAGCCAUGGGAAAGCGUGGAUGGCAGCCUUUCAGUCAACACGUGAAGGAAAGAGAGGUGUGUGUCAGGAUCAGACCCUGUUCCUAGAGAGGUGACUAACAAAGGUAUACACUUUGUCACUGGCCGAGCCCCAUCCCAGCUUCCUCCGAUGCCUCCCUGAUGUUAUCUUGUCUUUAGCAUUCAUCAGAAAAAUCGGAACAUCUGCCUCCAAUCCUAGCUACACUUGGUUCCUGUGCUAUACUCUGAGGCUCAGGGUCCCAAAGUGGACCCUGGUCUGUAGACAUGAACAAGAGUCGUCAAGGUCUAGGCUGGGAAGAUGGCUCAGUUAGUAAUGUCCUUGUCGUACAAGCCCUAGGGACUCCAGUCUGAUUCCCCAGGGCCCACGUGUAUUGGUUAUUUAACAUGGUGCCUGAUCAGAUUCUUGAUCAAUGCAUCCCAAGGAUGGCAGCUCAUAGUCCAAGGGUACUGUCCAUCAUGGUGAGGAAAUCCUGGUGGCAAGAUCACAAGGCAGCUGGUUAGACUGCGUGUGUGGUCAGGAAGCAUAGACCAACGAUGCUUGCAAAUGCCCAGCUCCCGUUCUCUAGGAUCUGAGCCAGGGAAUGGCACUGCCCACAGUGGGCAGGUUUUCCCACUUCAAUUAAUGUAAUCAAGAUAACCCUCACAGGCAUGCUCAUCUUCCAGGUGAUUUGAGAUUCUGUCACGUUGACCAUAAACAGUAACCAUUACAUGGUGGUGCCCUUAUUAACCAAUCGCUUGCUGGCCAGCCAGUCUAGUCAUUUGACAAGCUCUGGGCCAGUGAGAGACCUGCCUUAAAAAGAAAACAAAGUAGUUGCCUCCUAAGGGAUGACACUCAGGAUGUCCUCUGCCCUACCUCCUCCCAAUACACACACACACACACACACACACACACACACACACACAGAGAGAGAGAGAGAGAGAGAGAGAGAGAGAGAGAGAGAGAGAGAGAGAGGGAGGCCCUCCUGGAAGGUGGGGAUCCUACAAAACAGCAGCAUCAGUCUGGACAGGGCCACAGAUGGGUGUGACAAGGACAAGACAAAUGUCACCUCACAUCAUAUUUAGGGAUUCCAAAAUAGUCCCACAAUAACUCAAACCCAGGAUGUGAUAUGAGCCUCAGACCUCUAAGAAAGAUGCUCUUUCCCUGACAGCCCUCCGGGUUGUCUGUGGACAGACACACCCUGCCCAAGGGAGGUGGCAGGAUCCUUUCUGAGUAACCUUGUCUGUUUCAGAAAGGAGUUUCAGAAAAGAGACCUCCUGUCUCAUUGACUUCACCUUGGCUGGUGUGUUUGGGAAAUCUGUCUUACAUAUUUGAGUACCUGCCUGGAAAGACCAUUUGCUGCCAUUCCUUCUGGAUUGGAAUGACUGAGGUGACAAGCAUAAACUGUCCAAGGACAAGGACAAUUAAAGGCUAGUGUUUGGUGAAACGAGCUACUAAAAAGUACGCAGUUUUUAAUGCUUAGUUUAAAACAGAGAUGCCAGAGCUGGAGAGAUGGUCCAGUCAGUGAAAUCCUGAGUUUGGAUCCCCAGCAACUGCACAAAAGCUGGGUACUGCAGCUUGCUCUGUGAUGCCACUAUGAAGGAGGCAAGGACAAAAGAACCCUGGGGCUCACAGGCCAGCCAGCCUAGCCAAUCACUGAGAGCCCUGUCUGAAAAUAAGCUAGGGAGCUAUUAAGGAAGACGUUUGAUGUCAACCCCUGGCCAGGAAUCGAACUCAAGUUGUCAGCCUUGGCAGCAGACACUUUUACCCAUACAGCCAG